This 535-nucleotide long non-coding RNA is filed under the name Notechis scutatus (mainland tiger snake). RNAcentral describes it as "lncRNA (ENSNSUG00000019059.1)". Lineage: Eukaryota; Metazoa; Chordata; Lepidosauria; Squamata; Elapidae. The record is from RNAcentral.
UGCUGUUCCAGUUCAAGCACACCCACCUCUUCUGUUUCUAUAGUGUCCAAACCAAGUAACUUUGUACUCCUUUGUGAGGUUCCCAUCUAACUAUGCUGAUGGACAGAUGCAGUGCAACCCAUCUAGAGAUUCUUGGAUUUACAGAAAAUUAUGCUGUGGCUCUUUGCCAGCAAGGAAAUAAUCUGGACACAAAGCCACAUUCAUUUCGGCAUUGCGCUUGAACUGCUGAGCAGAUUAAAGGCAAACAAAGGGACAGUGAUGAAAACAGCAAAAAAAAAUGCUGUGCAUCUGAAUGUUACCAGAAUUUACCCAAUGUAGCAACCCCGAGUGGAAAAGAAGGAAAGCUGAAGCUUUGAAAAAUUUCCUGAAGGACACCUAAUUGUAAUUCCUACUUUGAUUUCUCUGUAAAGUUUCUGAAUGCUUCUGGAUGACUACAGUGACAAUUCCCUGACCUGCUGUCCAGAUGAUUGACUGGUUGAUAAUGUCUUUAAUGUUUUGUCAUGUUUUGCCAACAUUGUUUUUAACAAAUCCCAAG